GACGAACGCUGGCGGCGUGCCUAAUACAUGCAAGUAGAACGCACAGUUUAUACCGUAGCUUGCUACACCAUAGACUGUGAGUUGCGAACGGGUGAGUAACGCGUAGGUAACCUGCCUGGUAGCGGGGGAUAACUAUUGGAAACGAUAGCUAAUACCGCAUAAUAUUAAUUAUUGCAUGAUAAUUAAUUGAAAGGUGCAAUUGCACCACUACCAGAUGGACCUGCGUUGUAUUAGCUAGUAGGUGAGGUAACGGCUCACCUAGGCGACGAUACAUAGCCGACCUGAGAGGGUGAUCGGCCACACUGGGACUGAGACACGGCCCAGACUCCUACGGGAGGCAGCAGUAGGGAAUCUUAGGCAAUAGACGAAAGUCUGACCGAGCAACGCCGCGUGAGUGAAGAAGGUUUUCGGAUCGUAAAGCUCUGUUGUAAGAGAAGAACGGGUGUGAGAGUGGAAAGUUCACACUGUGACGGUAUCUUACCAGAAAGGGACGGCUAACUACGUG
Molecule: ribosomal RNA, 505 nt
Filed under: uncultured bacterium
Lineage: Bacteria
Description: partial 16S ribosomal RNA
Rfam family: Bacterial small subunit ribosomal RNA
Source: RNAcentral